RNAcentral lists this long non-coding RNA (252 nucleotides) under Mytilus galloprovincialis (Mediterranean mussel). The record is from RNAcentral. Lineage: Eukaryota; Metazoa; Mollusca; Bivalvia; Mytilida; Mytilidae.
CCCCUAUGUUCUAUUUUUAGCCAUGGCGGCCAUCUUGGUUGGUUGGCCGGGUCACCGGACACAUUUUUUAAACUAGAUACCCCAAUGAUGAUUGUGGCCAAGUUUGGUUAAAUUUGGCCUAGUAGUUUCAGAGGAGAAGAUUUUUGUAAAAGAUUACUAAGAUUUACGAAAAAUGGUUAAAAAUUGACUAUAAAGGGCAAUAACUCCUAAAGUGGUCAACUGACCAUUUUGGUCAUGUUGACUUAUUUGUAG